GUGCUUGUUUUGACCUCACAUAUUUGAAAAUGGGAGUGACCCAGAGAAUAUUUGCAUAGCCCCUGUACAAGGAUGACAGAAAAAUUCAUGAGGCCUUUCAUAUUUUU
Meriones unguiculatus (Mongolian gerbil) is the source of this 107-nucleotide small nuclear RNA. The record is from Ensembl. Lineage: Eukaryota; Metazoa; Chordata; Mammalia; Rodentia; Muridae.